This 440-nucleotide ribosomal RNA is filed under the name uncultured bacterium. Its description in RNAcentral is "partial 16S ribosomal RNA". It matches the Rfam family "Bacterial small subunit ribosomal RNA", at positions 338 to 795 of the family's 1533-position model. The record is from RNAcentral.
CCUACGGGAGGCAGCAGUAGGGAAUAUUGCUCAAUGGGGGAAACCCUGAAGCAGCAACGCCGCGUGGAGGAUGAAGGUUUUCGGAUUGUAAACCCCUUUUGUUAGAGAAGAUAAUUACGGUAUCUAACGAAUAAGCACCGGCUAACUCCGUGCCAGCAGCCGCGGUAAUACGGAGGGUGCAAGCGUUACUCGGAAGCACUGGGCGUAAAGAGAGCGUAGACGGGAUAGCAAGUCAGAUGUGAAAUCCUUUGGCUUAACCAUAGAACUGCAUUUGAAACUGUUAUUCUAGAGUACGGGAGAGGUAGGUGGAAUUCGUGGUGUAGGGGUAAAAUCCGUAGAGAUCAAGAGGAAUACUGAUUGCGAAGGCGGCCUGCUAGAACAUAACUGACGCUGAUGCGCGAAAGCGUGGGGAGCAAACAGGAUUAGAUACCCGGGUAGUC